RNAcentral lists this unclassified non-coding RNA (377 nucleotides) under plant metagenome. RNAcentral describes it as "partial contains 5.8S ribosomal RNA, internal transcribed spacer 2, and large subunit ribosomal RNA". The stretch from base 1 to 104 matches the Rfam family "5.8S ribosomal RNA", at positions 51 to 154 of the family's 154-position model. The record is from RNAcentral.
AAAUGCGAUAAGUAAUGUGCAUUGCAGAAUUCAGUGAAUCAUCGAAUCUUUGAACGCACCUUGCGCUCCUUGGUAUUCCUUGGAGCAUGCCUGUUUGAGUAUCAUGAAAUCUUCAAAGUAAAUCUUUUGUUAACUCAAUUGGUUUCUACUUUGGUAUUGGAGGUCUUUGCAGCUUCACACCUGCUCCUCUUUGUUCAUUAGCUGGAUCUCAGUGUUAUGCUUGGUUCCACUCGGCGUGAUAAGUUAUCUAUCGCUGAGGACACUGUAAAAGGUGGCCAAGGUAAAUGCAGAUGAUCCGCUUCUAAUAGUCCAUUGACUUGGACAAUACUUUUAUGAUCUGAUCUCAAAUCAGGUAGGACUACCCGCUGAACUUAAGC